UCGACAAUGUUCGUGCCGCCCGCCGCUCCGGCGCCGUCGCCCGAGCUCUGCCACACUAACGUGCUCUCACACGACGACCUACCAGUUGUCAUAGAAGAGGACGAGAACAGUCGCGACGAGGCGGUCAUCGAGAUGCAGAAUUUGCAGCCGAACAGCAAGACGCAUGUGGACGCGGACAAGAGCAACGAUGUGAAGAAGAAGAGGUCUUGGA
Long non-coding RNA from Priapulus caudatus, 211 nucleotides. RefSeq lists it as uncharacterized. The record is from RefSeq and is a predicted model, not a curated record. The transcript is spliced from 3 exons. NCBI's taxonomy places the organism in Eukaryota, Metazoa, Priapulida, Priapulimorpha, Priapulimorphida, Priapulidae.